Molecule: ribosomal RNA, 254 nt
Filed under: uncultured bacterium
Lineage: Bacteria
Description: partial 16S ribosomal RNA
Rfam family: Bacterial small subunit ribosomal RNA
Source: RNAcentral
UACGGGGGGGGCAAGCGUUGUUCGGAAUUACUGGGCGUAAAGAGCUCGUAGGCGGCCUGUCGCGUCGGUUGUGAAAGCCCGGGGCUUAACCCCGGGUCUGCAGUCGAUACGGGCAUCACUGGAGUUCGGCAGGGGAGACUGGAAUUCCUGGUGUAGCGGUGAAAUGCGCAGAUAUCAGGAGGAACACCGGUGGCGAAGGCGGGUCUCUGGGCCGAUACUGACGCUGAGGAGCGAAAGCGUGGGGAGCGAACAGG